RNAcentral lists this ribosomal RNA (390 nucleotides) under uncultured bacterium. Its description in RNAcentral is "bacterial SSU rRNA". It matches the Rfam family "Bacterial small subunit ribosomal RNA", at positions 28 to 444 of the family's 1533-position model. The record is from RNAcentral.
AAUGAACGUUGGCGGCGUGGAUUAGGCAUGCAAGUCGAGCGUACCCAGCAAUGGGGAAGCGGCAAACGGGGUAGUAAGGCGUCGGUACGUGCCCUCGGGACGAGGAUAGCCACGGGAAACUGUGGGUAAUACUCGAUGAUCUCGUGAGAGCAAAGGUGUGAUUCCGCCAGGGGAGCGGCCGACGUGGUAUUAGGUAGUUGGUGGGGUAAUGGCCCACCAAGCCUGGGAUGCCUAGGGGGUGUGAGAGCAUGGCCCCCACCAUUGGGACUGAGAUACUGCCCAGACACCUACGGGUGGCUGCAGUCGAGAAUCUUCGGCAAUGGGCGCAAGCCUGACCGAGCGACGCCGCGUGCGGGAUGAAGGCCUUGGUUGUAACCGCUGUCAGAGGGA